CUAAUACCGGAUAACAACAGAUGAUGCCUAUCAACUGUUUAAAAGAAUGGUUCUGCUAUCACUCUUGGAUGGACCUGCGGUGCAUUAGCUAGUUGGUAGGGUAACGGCCUACCAAGGCGAUGAUGCAUAGCCGAGUUGAGAGACUGAUCGGCCACAUUGGGACUGAGACACGGCCCAAACUCCUACGGGAGGCAGCAGCU
RNAcentral lists this ribosomal RNA (200 nucleotides) under uncultured Lactobacillus sp. Its description in RNAcentral is "partial 16S ribosomal RNA". It matches the Rfam family "Bacterial small subunit ribosomal RNA", at positions 163 to 355 of the family's 1533-position model. The record is from RNAcentral. Lineage: Bacteria; Bacillati; Bacillota; Bacilli; Lactobacillales; Lactobacillaceae.